Molecule: ribosomal RNA, 484 nt
Filed under: uncultured bacterium
Lineage: Bacteria
Description: partial 16S ribosomal RNA
Rfam family: Bacterial small subunit ribosomal RNA
Source: RNAcentral
AUUGAACGCUGGCGGCAGGCCUAACACAUGCAAGUCGAGCGGACGAAGGGAGCUUGCUCUUGGAUUCAGCGGCCGACGGGUGAGUAAUGCCUAGGAAUCUGCCUGGUCGUGGGGGCUAACGUCCGGAAACGGGCGCUAAUAUCGCAUACGUCCUGAGGUAGAACGUGAGGGAUCUUCGGACCUCACGCUAUUUGAUGAGACUAGGACGGAUUAGCUAGUUGGUAGGGUAAGGGCCUACCAAGGCGACGAUCCGUAACUGGUCUGAGAGGCUGAUCAGUCACACUGGAACUGAGACACGGUCCAGACUCCUACGGGAGGCAGCAGUAGGGAAUAUUGCGCAAUGGGCGAAAGCCUGAUGCAGCCAUGCCGCGUGUGUGAAGAAGGUCUUCGGAUUGUAAAGCACUUUAAGUUGGGAAGAAGGGAAGUAAGUUUAAAUCUGGCUGUUUUGACGGUACCAACAGAGUAAGCACCGGCUAACUACGUG